GAUUGCAGGCUGCAACCCGCCUGUAUGAAGUUGGAAUCGCUAGUAAUCGCGGAUCAGCAUGCCGCGGUGAAUACGUUCCCGGGCCUUGUACACACCGCCCGUCACACCAUGAGAGUCGGGAACACCCGAAGUCCGUAGUCUAACCGCAAGGAGGACGCCGCCGAAGGUGGGGUUGAUGAUUAGGGUUAAGUCGUAACAAGGUAGC
RNAcentral lists this ribosomal RNA (205 nucleotides) under uncultured bacterium. RNAcentral's name for it is "partial 16S ribosomal RNA". It matches the Rfam family "Bacterial small subunit ribosomal RNA", at positions 1296 to 1500 of the family's 1533-position model. The record is from RNAcentral.